This 307-nucleotide long non-coding RNA is filed under the name Sorghum bicolor (sorghum). RNAcentral's name for it is "long non-coding RNA (SBIC_LNC005534)". The record is from RNAcentral. Lineage: Eukaryota; Viridiplantae; Streptophyta; Magnoliopsida; Poales; Poaceae.
GGCCGGGAACAGGGAGAGGGAGAGUUUCUGUUUUUUUUCAUUUUUCUUUUAUUCCAAAAGCCAUUUGAAACUCAUUUAAAAAUCCUUUUAAAUCAUUUGGAGUUUUGAGUUCAAAUACACUCAUCACAAUAAAUAAAAUGCAGGAGCAUGAGUGCACAAAAAUGUUGCUACACCCUAUGAUAAAUUUUAUUUUGAUGAAGAAUAUUAUUUCCUAUGUUUCAUGAGCACCAAAAAUUCAUAAUUAAAUCAUUUUAACUCUAUUUCCCAGAAAACAUUUUUUUAGGGUGCUACAAUUAAGAGAGAGUCG